AUUUUCAGUUUAGUACAGUUCAGAUCGAUAUAUUUUGUUGGAGCCCUUCUGAAUGUUUGUUUGUGCUCAAAUUUGACAGUCAGGCUUGGUUAAAAUUAAUAAAAAGAACGUGAUCUUAACUUUUCAGUUUUGAACUAUUUUUGGUCACCGAAAAGUCUACCGACUAAAAUCGUUAGCAGAUAGCAGUCAGAUUUUGUUUUUCACUUUUCGGGUAUCGGAAUGACAUGAAACUUUAAAUUUAGUUUCCGAAAAAUAAUUCCGACAUAUUCUCAAAUUUUCAUAAUUUUCUGACACUGUGAAUUUUCUGCUAAAAGAUUCGCUCCGUUCCUUACAGAAAAUUCUAAAUCUUCUGUUUUUAUUUCAAUUUCACAACAAACUAUUUCUAAAUUAUCUUUUAUUUUUUUUCUAACCCAAUAAAAAUAGUAUUUCACACUAUUUUUAUUUACACUUGAUUUUACUAAAAUAUCCUUCAAAAUCUGCAUUUUGCAGAACUGCUGUCACACCCCAAUAAUCCCACAUCGGAUAGGAAUGGGGAUGUGAUUGGAUAUAUAAGAGACUUAGACACUAGUAAUAAUAACUGGACUUAAACAUUUUGGGCCGGUGGUUGGGGCCAACGAGUUAUUGUUGCUAGUGGGCUGGGUCGUUACAACUGCGUACGGUACUCGAGUUCACGUACCGGUACUCGGGUAGUUCCGGUACCCAGAGUCUAGUUCCUCAAAAUCCGAACGUUGGAUUUUCAAGAUUUCUACAGCGUACCGGUACUCGGUUUCUGCUAUCGGAAUAGCGGGAAUAACUUUCGUUAUCUCUGCUUAUACUCCAAAACAAACGAGGCCUUGGUAAACAAGUAGAG
Molecule: long non-coding RNA, 850 nt
Filed under: Ananas comosus (pineapple)
Lineage: Eukaryota; Viridiplantae; Streptophyta; Magnoliopsida; Poales; Bromeliaceae
Description: long non-coding RNA (ACOM_LNC001772)
Source: RNAcentral